AUUGAACGCUGGCGGCAGGCCUAACACAUGCAAGUCGAACGGUAACAGGAAGCAGCUUGCUGCUUCGCUGACGCGUGUCGGACGGGUGAGUAAUGUCUGGGAAGCUGCCUGUUGGAGUGGGAUAACUACUGGAAACGGUAGCUAAUACCGCAUAAUGUCGCAAGACCAAAGAGGGGGACCUUCUGGCCUCUUGCCCUCGGAUGUGCCCAGAUGUGAGUAGCUCGUUGGUGGGGUAACGGCUCACCAAGGCGACGAUCCCUAUCUGGUAUGAGAGGAUGAUCAGCCACACGGGAACUGAGACACGGUGCAGACUCCUACGGGAGGCAGCAGUGGGGAAGAUUGGACAAUGGGCGCAAGCCUGAUCCAGCCAGAACGCGGGGGUGAAGAAGGCCUUCGGGUUGUAAAGCACUUUUGUUGGGAAAGAAAAGCAGCAGGUUAAUACCCCGCUGUUAUGACGGUACCAAAAGAAUAAGCACCGGCUAACUUCGUG
Molecule: ribosomal RNA, 490 nt
Filed under: uncultured bacterium
Lineage: Bacteria
Description: partial 16S ribosomal RNA
Rfam family: Bacterial small subunit ribosomal RNA
Source: RNAcentral